GUAGGGUGUCAGCAGCGUGAUGGGAUGAGCAAUGCAGGGAUACCCACCAUCACCCAAAAGGAUCCUUCAGGGCCUUUAUUCUUCGGUGGCAGCCAUCAAUGCUCCCUACGACCUUUUGGAAGGUGGAAGACCAAGGAAGCUGCUAAAAACCAGAGGUGACUAAUGGCAGUUCAUUCCCACUGGAUGCUGGGUGACCCUGCUCAUCAGCUGGAGGAUGCGGUCUGCCGUCCUGUGGACAAUGUCACUCACAGUGGACCGUGUCAUGUCAAAGGCCCUGGCUACCACACCGUAAGAUGUGCCACAUGCCAGCCAGAAAAGAAACACAAGCUGCUCCACCAGAUGCUCAAUGGUCCUGCGGGUCAACCGAUCUGCGGGUCUGCCGGUCUGGUCUUGUGUCGGACUGAGCGUCAGCGUGAAGGGCCACGACAGACACCUAUAUGUUGGCAAAGUAGUAGAGACGUGGAAGACCCUGUAAAAUAGAAAAAUAAUUAUUUCAUUUAGAAAAUUAAAUCUGAUUUUUUU
Molecule: long non-coding RNA, 522 nt
Organism: Oryzias latipes (Japanese medaka)
Lineage: Eukaryota; Metazoa; Chordata; Actinopteri; Beloniformes; Adrianichthyidae
Source: RefSeq, a predicted model, not a curated record